CGAGCUUCCUGUGGUAAACAGGAAGUUAACAGAAGGCCACAUAUCCAGGAAGAAUAGAUGCUCGGAAGAUUCUUGAGGCAUCUUCCAUCAUAAAUGGGAGUGAACACUUGCUGGUGGUGGAGAAUCUGACCAACCAAUCUGUGGAAACAAUGAUUGUGGAGCUACCUGUGGGCUGUGAAGAGAGCGUCUGGCUUGCAGGGUUUCAGGAGUCUUCACUCAUUUGGGGGUGGACUUGUGUUUACAUCUACUUUUGAGCUAUCCCUGCACCUUGUACAACCCUCACUCAUAUGCGUGUUAGUAACCACAAUUUAAAAAGUGAUGUGAUCGUUACUUUGGUCUGUCAUGGCUGCCUUCCUGGGGAAAAACUUGUCACGCGAGAGUAAUACACAGGGGAAAGUAGCCCCACCUCAGAAGCCAGGAUGAGGCCUCAUCAGCUAAGUCUGAAACUGGAAUGAACAGCUCUGAGCCUGAAGUGAGCAAGUAGAUCAACCUGUGGAGCCCUGCUCUAGUCAUUUCUAGCUCUAAGUUGGAAAUCUGUAUUUUGAUUAUUUCCAGAUGUCAACAGACACCUUGCCCUCCCAAGUAUAUUAAAUAAAAGAAAAUUUGGUUA
Molecule: non-coding RNA, 610 nt
Organism: Rattus norvegicus (Norway rat)
Lineage: Eukaryota; Metazoa; Chordata; Mammalia; Rodentia; Muridae
Source: RefSeq, a predicted model, not a curated record